This 246-nucleotide ribosomal RNA is filed under the name uncultured bacterium. RNAcentral describes it as "partial 16S ribosomal RNA". It matches the Rfam family "Bacterial small subunit ribosomal RNA", at positions 15 to 244 of the family's 1533-position model. The record is from RNAcentral.
GAUCCUGGCUCAGGAUGAACGCUGGCGGCGUGCCUAACACAUGCAAGUCGAACGGAGUUAUGCAGAGGAAGUUUUCGGAUGGAAUCGGCGUAACUUAGUGGCGGACGGGUGAGUAACGCGUGGGAAACCUGCCCUGUACCGGGGGAUAACACUUAGAAAUAGGUGCUAAUACCGCAUAAGCGCACAGCUUCACAUGAAGCAGUGUGAAAAACUCCGGUGGUACAGGAUGGUCCCGCGUCUGAUUAG